UCAGACGAUGCGUCAUGCAUAUCAAUAAGCGGAGGAAAAGAAACUAACAAGGAUUCCCCUAGUAACGGCGAGUGAAGCGGGAAGAGCUCAAAUUUGAAAUCUUAAAGGGUUUCCCUUUACGAAUUGUAGUUUAAAGAAGUGUUUUCUGUUGAGGUUUUGGUAAAAGUUCUUUGGAAUAGGAUAUCAUAGAGGGUGAGAAUCCCGUAUUUGACCUUUACUUUCAACUUUGUGAUACACUUUCAAAGAGUCGGAUUGUUUGGGAAUGCAGUCCAAAAUGGGAUGGUAAAUUUCAUCUAAAGCUAAAUAUUGGCGAGAGACCGAUAGCGAACAAGUACCGUGAGGGAAAGAUGAAAAGAACUUUGAAAAGAGAGUUAAACAGUACGUGAAAUUGUCAAAAGGGAAGCGUUUGACACCAGUGUUGUUUUUCUGAAAAUCAAUUAAAGAACUGUUUAUGCUAAGUUGUUUAGACUUUAUCAGCUAACUGUUUAGUUUUGAGCUUUUCUUUAAUGCACUUUUCAGUUAACAAGUCAACAUCAAUUUCUUUUGCUGUAAAAAAGCUUGAGGAAGGUGGCUUGAGAUUCGUCUUAAGUGUUUAUAGCCUCUUGCCUAUGCAGUCGGAGAGAUUGAGGUCUGCAGCGUAGAUCCUUCGGGGCUAAAUGCAUUUGUGCUAAGUUAUAGCAUUUUAUAGACAACUUGUUGACUAUGAUUUGUCUUGUAGCUUACUCGCUUAUGUUAUUUUACCUACGCUUAGGAUGUUGACACACGCGCGUGCUCG
Molecule: ribosomal RNA, 775 nt
Filed under: uncultured Neocallimastigales
Lineage: Eukaryota; Fungi; Neocallimastigomycota; Neocallimastigomycetes; Neocallimastigales
Description: partial large subunit ribosomal RNA
Rfam family: Eukaryotic large subunit ribosomal RNA
Source: RNAcentral